CUUGGUUAUCAUCGGUCCCAAAAAGGUUAUCGUUGUUAUUCUCCUACUCUUUGACGAUAUCUCAUAUCGGCGGAUGUCACAUUUUUUGAGUCUGUUACAUACUAUAGGUCGCUUCCUGAUCCUUUGUCUGCAACUAUUCCUCUGGACCUACCAAAGUCUAUUUCACCUUCUAUUUUACCAUUAGAGCCUAUUACGUAUGCCCCACCUGAGACACCUCCUGUGGCCCAUCCCACUGUCCCACUUGAGACUCCUCUUGUUGAUACUCGAUCCUCUUUCCUGGUACCCCUCUUCACUCACUUCCUCCUCGGGUCUUCGGAUCUACAUGUUUUGUCCACAAUCUCACUCCUGGUCUUGACAAACUUUCAGCUCGAUCAUUAAAAUGUGUCUUUCUUGGUUAUCAUCGGUCCCAAAAAGGUUAUCGUUGUUAUUCUCCUACUCUUCGACGAUAUCUCAUAUCGGUUGAUGUCACAUUUUUUGAGUCUGUUACAUACUAUGAGUCGCUUCCUGAUCCUUUGUCUGCAACUAUUCCUCUGGACCUACCAAAGUCUAUUUCACCUUCUCUUUUACCAUUAGAGCCUAUUACGUAUGCCCCACCUGAGACACCUCCUGUGGCCCAUCCCACUGUCCCACUUGAGACUCCUCUUGUUGAUCCUCCAACUGUACAACCUCUUCAGACAUAUCGUCGUCGUCAACCACCAUCGG
Molecule: long non-coding RNA, 702 nt
Filed under: Cicer arietinum (chickpea)
Lineage: Eukaryota; Viridiplantae; Streptophyta; Magnoliopsida; Fabales; Fabaceae
Description: long non-coding RNA (CARI_LNC001316)
Source: RNAcentral